CCCUUAGAUGUUCUGGGCCGCACGCGCGCUACACUGAUGCAUUCAACGAGUCCAAAACCUGCUCUGAUAGGGGUGGGUAAUCUUUUGAAUGUGCAUCGUGAUUGGGAUAGAUGAUUGCAAUUUUUCAUCUUCAACGAGGAAUGCCUAGUAAACGCAAGUCAUCAGCUUGCAUUGAUUACGUCCCUGCCCUUUGUACACACCGCCCGUCGCUCCUACCGAUUGAAUGAUCCGAUGAAUAUCAUGGAUUGAGGAUGCAAGCAGGUUCGCCUGUCUUCAUCUUCGAGAAGUGAAGUAAAUCUUAUCAUUUAGAGGAAGGAGAAGUCGUAACA
Molecule: ribosomal RNA, 329 nt
Filed under: uncultured eukaryote
Lineage: Eukaryota
Description: partial 18S ribosomal RNA
Rfam family: Eukaryotic small subunit ribosomal RNA
Source: RNAcentral